CUUUCCCUCUUUCUUUAGGCCUAACACAUGCAAGUCGAACGGCAGCACAGUAAGAGCUUGCUCUUACGGGUGGCGAGUGGCGGACGGGUGAGGAAUACAUCGGAAUCUACUUUUUCGUGGGGGAUAACGUAGGGAAACUUACGCUAAUACCGCAUAAGACCUACGGGUGAAAGCAGGGGAUCUUCGGACCUUGCGCGAUUGAAUGAGCCGAUGUCGGAUUAGCUAGUUGGCGGGGUAAAGGCCCACCAAGGCGACGAUCCGUAGCUGGUCUGAGAGGAUGAUCAGCCACACUGGAACUGAGACACGGUCCAGACUCCUACGGGAGGCAGCAGUGGGGAAUAUUGGACAAUGGGCGCAAGCCUGAUCCAGCCAUACCGCGUGGGUGAAGAAGGCCUUCGGGUUGUAAAGCCCUUUUGUUGGGAAAGAAAAGCAGCAGGUUAAUACCCCGCUGUUCUGACGGUACCCAAAGAAUAAGCACCGGCUAACUUCGUG
RNAcentral lists this ribosomal RNA (492 nucleotides) under uncultured bacterium. Its description in RNAcentral is "partial 16S ribosomal RNA". It matches the Rfam family "Bacterial small subunit ribosomal RNA", at positions 36 to 507 of the family's 1533-position model. The record is from RNAcentral.